Camellia sinensis is the source of this 2405-nucleotide long non-coding RNA. RefSeq lists it as uncharacterized. The record is from RefSeq and is a predicted model, not a curated record. Lineage: Eukaryota; Viridiplantae; Streptophyta; Magnoliopsida; Ericales; Theaceae.
CUUAUCCCGUAUUUUUGGGUGGCUGGGAUAUAUGCGACCCAAGAUUGAGAUGGCAGCCAUGUUGCAAGCUUCAACAAAGCACUAUUGCUGAGAGGAGAAUAGGGUUUUGUUUUUGUGGAUGCCGUCGCCGGCUGCCAGGAAAGGUAUGGAUAGUAAUCUAAUGUUGCUGUGUCUACACCGGAAUAUGAACGUCGCAUACAAUAUGUAACCUCCAUUUGUGUAUGUGGAUCUAGUUCAUUUCAUUAGCUCGAAAUUUAAGGGAUUCACACUGUCAAACGUAGCGUUGUUUUACAAGAUCCCCAACUUGGACAACUUUACCUCGCAGAACGAUGUGGACAUGCAGAAUAUGGUGUGCCUCGCUUUGUCAUUCCACUUGCAACACGUAGUUGUCAUUAUUGCACAAGAAUAGGAGGCCAUUAACGCAAUCGAAUCUGAUGCUCAUUCCAUGACGAGCGACCUUGAGCCACCCUAUAGAGGGGUCAGGCGGCCAUUGGAGUUUGAUGAUGACAUUGAUCUGCUACCAAACUUUUGUGCUCACACCGAGAAGGUGCUACUAACUGUCACAUGGGCUAACGGACUCACUCACGUUGGUUAGUGUUUCGAAGGAGGUGCACAAUUAUUCCUGCCUGUGCUUUGCAAAUAUGCCGUUGAGUGUGGCUUCCAGUAUAAACAUGUGAAGAAUGAUUUCAUUCGGGUGACAAUUGUUUGCGCUAUAAAGGACACAAAAGGUUGCAUGUGGUACGUCCACGCACGAGUACUAGCCGCUAACGGAUUCUUCUACCUUCGCAAAUGGAACAGUCAGCACUAAUGUGGCGUUGUAGUUCAUACAUCUAAGCACCUAAGGGUGAGAUCAGAGUUGGUUGAUGAUAUUGUUUCAUCACGUGUCUGUGCAAGGCCACUCACACACCCUACCGAUGUCAUGUUAGAUUUGAAGGAUGACUACGGAUUGGACAUUACAUACCAUGUUGCAUGGUUAGGUGUUGAAAAAGCGAGAGGUGAACAAUUUGGGGGCACAUUCACUAUCGUUCGAUCAGUUGCGUUGGUACACCAAUGCCGUAACCGAGUACAACCCCGGAAGCUACACUAAUCUUGAUCACGAUAUCAACACGCACCGUUUCCUCCAGUACUUCAUAUCAUUCAAGGCAUCUAUUGAUGGUUUCCAACAUUGUCAUCCAUUAUUAUUCCUCGAUGCCACUUUCUUGAAAGGAAGGUUCAAAGGGUUCUUGCUGGCUGCUACUACGAAAGAUGGUAACACAUGUUUGUUCCCAUUGGCAUACGCAAUUGUGGACUUCGAAAACAUGACAAACUGGGCGUGGUUCUUGCAAAACUUAUCCAACGUCUUGGCUGGGGAAAGACCAUUAACAUUUGUAUUGGAUCGAAAUGUGGGGCUGCUUGAGGCGAUGCCUACUAUUUUCCUAGACGCACAUCACACGUUUUGUAUCCAACACUUACAGUGCAACUUGAAAGACAAAAUACGAUACAUGAACAGUGUGCAUCAUGACAGUUUAGUAAAUAAAUUUCGGGCUUGUGCAUAUGCACCAACCGUUCUCGCAUUCAAUCAGAAAUUGGAAAAAUUUUAGAAAUUUGGCCGUGCUAUUGCAACCAAAUUCCUCGAGGACGCGCACCCACGACAUUGGGUGAAUGCAUUUUUCAGGGGUAACCGUUAUAGAGAGAUGAGUUCCAAUGUAGCCGAGUCUUUCAAUUUGUGGAUAAGUGAAGCGCGCAAUCUUCUAAUCACGAAACUAGUAGACAGUAUCAGGGCACAGCUAAUGAGGCAGAUGUCAAAACGCAGGGUUGCCGCACAGACGUGGACAGGUGUAAUCUGCCCUAAAAUGGAGGCUCGGUUGGAAAAGUCGUACACCAAAGGCCGUUUGUGGAAGGUCAACCAGGAAAAUGAUGACGUGCACGAGGUUCAUUCGCACCCGUCCGUACUUGUCAACAUCGCCACACACUUUUGCUUUUGUUUCCAAUGGCAGAUUAAGGUUUUCUCAUGUCCCCAUGUUGUUGUUGCAAUAUGAAGAAGCGGUAGAGAUUUAAAUGAAAUUGUCGAACCAUAUUUCCAUGUGUCAGAAUAUCGUUCCAUAUACGGCCCGACAAUCUGCCCAAUACCAACAGUUGAAAGACCACCAUUUGAUCCAGGUGAUUAUGUCAUUCUCCCACUGGCUGUUAAACGACCAUCGGGCCGGUGAAAAAAAAAAAAAAUCAUGUCACGUGGUGAACACGUCUAACAGAUACAAUGUAGCAGACGUGGUCGUAUGGGAAAUCACAACUGUAAAACAUGCAAGGAAUCAAUUGAGUUAUGCAUUGACCUAUCUUCACCAUGAUGCUUAAUUCCACAUUGUAAUAAAACUUAUCUUAUUACCACAACUAUGAUCUCCUCAACACAGCCACUGUAUCGGUCAAUC